UACGGGGGGGGCAAGCGUUGUUCGGAAUUACUGGGCGUAAAGGGCUCGUAGGUGGCUAACUAAGUCAGACGUGAAAUCCCUCGGCUUAACCGAGGAACUGCGUCUGAUACUGGAUGGCUUGAGUCCUGGAGAGGGUAGCGGAAUUCCCAGUGUAGAGGUGAAAUUCGUAGAUAUUGGGAGGAACACCGGUGGCGAAGGCGGCUACCUGGACAGUGACUGACGCUGAGACGCGAAAGCAUGGGUAGCAAACAGG
RNAcentral lists this ribosomal RNA (253 nucleotides) under uncultured bacterium. RNAcentral describes it as "partial 16S ribosomal RNA". It matches the Rfam family "Bacterial small subunit ribosomal RNA", at positions 524 to 776 of the family's 1533-position model. The record is from RNAcentral.